GCCGGUCUAAUCACAUAGGAAUAUCUAAAUAAGCUCUUUGUAGGAAGUUUAACCAAAACCUUUGUCAUAUUACUGUUCAAUAUAGUAUUUGGUAGUCUUAAUAAAAGGACCUAGACUGAUGCACCCACCAAGGCAGCAACUUCGUCCUUGUUUAUAUCCAUAUUGUAUUAUGAAAUAAGAGAGAGGAAUUUGCCAAUUUAGACCAUCGGUCAAAUUUUAUGACCAUAAUACUCUUGGUUUCUCUCUUUAACUACAUAUAUAUGAGAAAAUAUGAUUAAAAGUUAGAUAUACAAUCAUGUACAUUUCCAUUUAUUUCUGCAUCUCUAUCUCUUAUCUACUUUUAUCAACAUGUAUUUAUC
RNAcentral lists this long non-coding RNA (359 nucleotides) under Phoenix dactylifera (date palm). Its description in RNAcentral is "long non-coding RNA (PDAC_LNC013085)". The record is from RNAcentral. Lineage: Eukaryota; Viridiplantae; Streptophyta; Magnoliopsida; Arecales; Arecaceae.